ACACUCCUGCGGGAGGCAGCAGUGGGGAAUUUUGGACAAUGGGGGCAACCCUGAUCCAGCAAUGCCGCGUGAGUGAAGAAGGCCUUCGGGUUGUAAAGCUCUUUUGUCAGGGAAGAAACGGUAGUAGCGAAUAACUAUUACUAAUGACGGUACCUGAAGAAUAAGCACCGGCUAACUACGUGCCAGCAGCCGCGGUAAUACGUAGGGUGCAAGCGUUAAUCGGAAUUACUGGGCGUAAAGCGUGCGCAGGCGGUUGUGUAAGUCAGAUGUGAAAUCCCCGGGCUCAACCUGGGAAUUGCAUUUGAGACUGCACGGCUAGAGUGUGUCAGAGGGGGGUAGAAUUCCACGUGUAGCAGUGAAAUGCGUAGAUAUGUGGAGGAAUACCGAUGGCGAAGGCAGCCCCCUGGGAUAACACUGACGCUCAUGCACGAAAGCGUGGGGAGCAAACAGGAUUAGAUACCCUGGUAGUCCCAU
This 474-nucleotide ribosomal RNA is filed under the name uncultured organism. Its description in RNAcentral is "partial 16S ribosomal RNA". It matches the Rfam family "Bacterial small subunit ribosomal RNA", at positions 333 to 798 of the family's 1533-position model. The record is from RNAcentral.